This 301-nucleotide ribosomal RNA is filed under the name uncultured bacterium. Its description in RNAcentral is "partial 16S ribosomal RNA". It matches the Rfam family "Bacterial small subunit ribosomal RNA", at positions 509 to 807 of the family's 1533-position model. The record is from RNAcentral.
CAGUCGCCACGGUAAAACGUAGGUGGCAAGCGUUGUCCGGAAUUAUUGGGCGUAAAGGGCUCGCAGGCGGUUUCUUAAGUCUGAUGUGAAAGCCCCCGGCUCAACCGGGGAGGGUCAUUGGAAACUGGGGAACUUGAGUGCAGAAGAGGAGAGUGGAAUUCCACGUGUAGCGGUGAAAUGCGUAGAGAUGUGGAGGAACACCAGUGGCGAAGGCGACUCUCUGGUCUGUAACUGACGCUGAGGAGCGAAAGCGUGGGGAGCGAACAGGAUUAGAUACCCCCGUAGUCCCUGUCUCUUAUAC